ACUCAGCUGCAUUCUUUGGUGUAAACAUCUUGGCCUGAAUUGCCCAACAGAAGAUCCACAGGGCAUCCCAGCUCAUAGGGACAAAUGUCAUAAACAGUGCCCAGCGCCCUCCAACAGCUGUGAAUCCUCCACUAGCAUAGUCUGCAACAGGAAAUUAAGGGAGGGUUCAAGGCAAGAACUUUUCUGCACACUGGCACACGCCAACACAUGUGCUGUUAUUCAUGCCAACUACACACUCUAUGGUGGAGGUGCAGGCCUCUCCGAGACUCACUGGUGGUGUUGGUGGUGGUAGAAGGCUGAGACUGAAGGGCAAGCCCAGCCUCACAAUUAAGCCCAAUGGACUGCAUGUGCUGGACCACAAGAGCAGUUCUCACUCCCACCUGUCACAAGUCAAGAACGACUUCACACCAGCCUUGAAUCGCUAGAUAGAAGUGGACUUCAUGUCCAAGCUGAACAAGUUCAUGAAGGACCACAAUACACCCAUCACCAGGCUGCCACACAUCAGAUACAAGCAGCUUGGUUGCCGUGUCCCAGGAGAAGAACUCACCUCUUCGUCCCUCCUUUGACGUGGUCCUUAGAAAGGUGUUUGAGGGUGGCCUGAUGCGUUGUUGGUUCGUGGAGGCUUUGAGGCUGGCCAGGCGGGAUAAGGAAGGGGAGAACGGCGAAGAGGAAGAGAUGGGAGAGAAAGAGGAGGAGGAGGGUGGGGUACCUUUCAGUCUAAAUCACUUGCAAGGAGUGUUCCUCAUCCUGGCGCUGGUCUUGCUGGCGGCCUGUCUGGCCUUCCUGACAGAACUGUCGUGUGGCAAGAGGAACGGGAGGAAUUGGUAGUCAGUACUCAGUAGUCACCAAGUAUACAUCAACACAGCCACCAUUCUAAGGUCAUUUUUCCUUCGUACGCACAAUAAAAUCCCCGGAAGCUCAAAAGUAAGGUGUUUUGACUAUGUGUGGAAGAGUAGAAACGGUGAAAUAAAUAGUGAAGUAUAAUUUUGAAAAGUGGAGUAGCAAUAAAUUUUCAUUUAAU
Scylla paramamosain (green mud crab) is the source of this 1021-nucleotide long non-coding RNA. RefSeq lists it as uncharacterized. The record is from RefSeq and is a predicted model, not a curated record. The transcript has 5 exons. Lineage: Eukaryota; Metazoa; Arthropoda; Malacostraca; Decapoda; Portunidae.